GCUCAACCGGGGAGGGUCAUUGGAAACUGGGGAACUUGAGUGCAGAAGAGGAGAGUGGAAUUCCACGUGUAGCGGUGAAAUGCGUAGAGAUGUGGAGGAACACCGGUGGCGAAGGCGACUCUCUGGUCUGUAACUGACGCUGAGGCGCGAAAGCGUGGGGAGCGAACAGGAUUAGAUACCCUGGUAGUCCACGCCGUAAACGAUGAGUGCUAAGUGUUAGAGGGUUUCCGCCCUUUAGUGCUGCAGCAAACGCAUUAAGCACUCCGCCUGGGGAGUACGGUCGCAAGACUGAAACUCAAAGGAAUUGACGGGGGCCCGCACAAGCGGUGGAGCAUGUGGUUUAAUUCGAAGCAACGCGAAGAACCUUACCAGGUCUUGACAUCCUCUGACAACCCUAGAGAUAGGGCUUCCCCUUCGGGGGCAGAGUGACAGGUGGUGCAUGGUUGUCGUCAGCUCGUGUCGUGAGAUGUUGGGUUAAGUCCCGCAACGAGCGCAACCCUUGAUCUUAGUUGCCAGCAUUCAGUUGGGCACUCUAAGGUGACUGCCGGUGACAAACCGGAGGAAGGUGGGGAUGACGUCAAAUCAUCAUGCCCCUUAUGACCUGGGCUACACACGUGCUACAAUGGGCAGAACAAAG
This 637-nucleotide ribosomal RNA is filed under the name uncultured bacterium. RNAcentral describes it as "bacterial SSU rRNA". It matches the Rfam family "Bacterial small subunit ribosomal RNA", at positions 607 to 1244 of the family's 1533-position model. The record is from RNAcentral.